GGCACCAUGGCGGAGUGGUGACGCAGCGGAUUGCAAAUCCGUGUACCCCGGUUCGAUUCCGGGUGGUGCCUCCA
This 74-nucleotide transfer RNA is filed under the name Fretibacter rubidus. RNAcentral describes it as "tRNA-Cys". It matches the Rfam family "tRNA". From Rfam's summary of the family: Transfer RNA (tRNA) molecules are approximately 80 nucleotides in length. Their secondary structure includes four short double-helical elements and three loops (D, anti-codon, and T loops). The record is from RNAcentral. Lineage: Bacteria; Pseudomonadati; Pseudomonadota; Alphaproteobacteria; Maricaulales; Robiginitomaculaceae. RNAcentral also lists the same sequence under 6 other names.